This is a microRNA precursor of Cavia porcellus (domestic guinea pig), 85 nucleotides long. Ensembl annotates it as microRNA 653. Its record names the gene MIR653. Lineage: Eukaryota; Metazoa; Chordata; Mammalia; Rodentia; Caviidae. The record is from Ensembl.
CCUUCCUUCAGUGUUGAAACACUCUCUACUGAACCAGGCUCCACACCAAGUUCACUGGAGUUUGUUUCAGUAUUGCAAGAAUGAU